CGAUACUAGCUUGCUAGUAGUCGUCGAGUGGCGGACGGGUGAGUAACGCGUAGGAAUCUGCCUGAUAGUGGGGGAUAGCCCGAAGAAAUUCGGAUUAAUACCGCAUAAUCUAUUCGUAGUAAAGUGGGGGACUUUCGAGCCUCACGCUAUCAGAUGAGCCUGCGUAAGAUUAGCUUGUUGGUAGGGUAAAAGCCUACCAAGGCGACGAUCUUUAGCUGGUCUGAGAGGAUGAUCAGCCACAUCGGGACUGAGACACGGCCCGAACUCCUACGGGAGGCAGCAGUGGGGAAUAUUGGACAAUGGGGGCAACCCUGAUCCAGCAAUACCGCGUGUGUGAAGAAGGCCUGAGGGUUGUAAAGCACUUUCAAUUGUGAAGAAAAGUUAGCGGUUAAUAACCGUUGGCCUUGACGUUAACUUUAGAAGAAGCACCGGCUAACUCCGUGCCAGCAGCCGCGGUAAUACGGAGGGUGCAAGCGUUAAUCGGAAUUACUGGGCGUAAAGCGUGCGUAGGCGGUUUAUUAAGUCAGAUGUGAAAGCCCCGGGCUUAACCUGGGAACUGCAUUUGAAACUGGUCAACUAGAGUAUGGUAGAGGAAAGUGGAAUUUCUGGUGUAGCGGUGAAAUGCGUAGAUAUCAGAAGGAACAUCAAUGGCGAAGGCAGCUUUCUGGACCAAUACUGACGCUGAGGUACGAAAGCGUGGGUAGCAAACAGGAUUAGAUACCCUGGUAGUCCACGCCGUAAACGAUGAUAACUAGCCGUUGGGGGGAUUUACCCUUUAGUGGCGAAGCUAACGCG
This 795-nucleotide ribosomal RNA is filed under the name gamma proteobacterium SCGC AAA160-A15. RNAcentral's name for it is "bacterial SSU rRNA". It matches the Rfam family "Bacterial small subunit ribosomal RNA", at positions 69 to 859 of the family's 1533-position model. Lineage: Bacteria; Pseudomonadati; Pseudomonadota; Gammaproteobacteria. The record is from RNAcentral.